Molecule: transfer RNA, 71 nt
Filed under: Marmota monax (woodchuck)
Lineage: Eukaryota; Metazoa; Chordata; Mammalia; Rodentia; Sciuridae
Description: tRNA.Ala
Rfam family: tRNA
About the family: Transfer RNA (tRNA) molecules are approximately 80 nucleotides in length. Their secondary structure includes four short double-helical elements and three loops (D, anti-codon, and T loops). Further hydrogen bonds mediate the characteristic L-shaped molecular structure. tRNAs have two regions of fundamental functional importance: the anti-codon, which is responsible for specific mRNA codon recognition, and the 3' end, to which the tRNAs corresponding amino acid is attached (by aminoacyl-tRNA synthetases). tRNAs cope with the degeneracy of the genetic code in two manners: having more than one tRNA (with a specific anti-codon) for a particular amino acid; and 'wobble' base-pairing, i.e. permitting non-standard base-pairing at the 3rd anti-codon position.
Source: RNAcentral
GGGGCUGUAGCUCAGUGGUAGAGUGCUCACCUAGCAUGUGUGAGGCACUGGGUUCGAUCCUCAACACCACA